This 350-nucleotide unclassified non-coding RNA is filed under the name uncultured Rhizoglomus. RNAcentral describes it as "partial contains 5.8S ribosomal RNA, internal transcribed spacer 2, and large subunit ribosomal RNA". The stretch from base 1 to 102 matches the Rfam family "5.8S ribosomal RNA", at positions 53 to 154 of the family's 154-position model. The record is from RNAcentral. Lineage: Eukaryota; Fungi; Glomeromycota; Glomeromycetes; Glomerales; Glomeraceae.
GUGCGAUAAGUAGUGUGAAUUGCAGAAUUCCGUGAAUCAUCGAAUUUUUGAACGCAAAUUGCGCUUCCUGGCAUCCCGGGAAGUAUGCCUGUUUGAGGGUCAGUAUUAAUAAAAAAUCGGUUUGGUUGCAAAUUUUGUGACGUUUACCGGAGUUUGGGUUAUCUUAACUUUUUUGGUUAAGAGGCUUAAAAUUGACCUUUUUUGCGCAUUUUUAGACGUACAUAAAUUUUUUUUAUUCGUCUAUUCUUAAUGCCAAAAUCUUAUUAGAUGCGAUCACAUCGUGUGGUUUCGUGUCCAUAAAAUUUUCAUGAUUUGACCUCAAAUCAGGUAGGAGUACCCGCUGAACUUAA